GUACAAGAAGUCUAGUAAGCCUCGCUUUGUGGUCUUUUGGCUGGCUAAGAGACUCCUUUUAUUGCAUGGUAUAAGGCCAGGAAGACCUGUGAUGCUACAAGCCUCUGACACAUAGCAACUAUAUGACCAGGGGCAAAGUCAGUAUUUAACCUCUCAGUGCCAUAAGCAAUAAAAUAAGAUGAUAAA
Monodelphis domestica (gray short-tailed opossum) is the source of this 186-nucleotide long non-coding RNA. RefSeq lists it as uncharacterized. The record is from RefSeq and is a predicted model, not a curated record. Lineage: Eukaryota; Metazoa; Chordata; Mammalia; Didelphimorphia; Didelphidae.